GACGUAGGGCGCGAGCGUUGUCCGGAUUUAUUGGGCGUAAAGAGCUCGUAGGCGGCUUGUUGCGUCGACUGUGAAAACCCGCAGCUUAACUGCGGGCCUGCAGUUGAUACGGGCAGGCUAGAGUUCGGUAGGGGAGACUGGAAUUCCUGGUGUAGCGGUGAAAUGCGCAGAUAUCUGGAGGAACACCGGUGGCGAAGGCGGCAUCCUGGACCAAUUCUGACGCUGAGGAGCGAAAGCAAGGGGAGCAAACGGG
This 253-nucleotide ribosomal RNA is filed under the name uncultured bacterium. RNAcentral describes it as "partial 16S ribosomal RNA". It matches the Rfam family "Bacterial small subunit ribosomal RNA", at positions 524 to 776 of the family's 1533-position model. The record is from RNAcentral.